Molecule: ribosomal RNA, 497 nt
Filed under: uncultured bacterium
Lineage: Bacteria
Description: partial 16S ribosomal RNA
Rfam family: Bacterial small subunit ribosomal RNA
Source: RNAcentral
GAUGAACGCUGGCGGCGUGCCUAAUACAUGCAAGUCGAGCGAACGGACGAGGAGCUUGCUUCUCUGAUGUUAGCGGCGGACGGGUGAGUAACACGUGGAUAACCUACCUAUAAGACUGGGAUAACUUCGGGAAACCGGAGCUAAUACCGGAUAAUAUUUUGAACCGCAUGGUUCAAAAGCGAAAGACGGUCUUGCUGUCACUUAUAGAUGGAUCCGCGCUGCAUUAGCUAGUUGGUAAGGUAACGGCUUACCAAGGCAACGAUGCAUAGCCGACCUGAGAGGGUGAUCGGCCACACUGGAACUGAGACACGGUCCAGACUCCUACGGGAGGCAGCAGUAGGGAAUCUUCCGCAAUGGGCGAAAGCCUGACGGAGCAACGCCGCGUGAGUGAUGAAGGUCUUCGGAUCGUAAAACUCUGUUAUUAGGGAAGAACAUAUGUGUAAGUAACUGUGCACAUCUUGACGGUACCUAAUCAGAAAGCCACGGCUAACUACGUG